RNAcentral lists this ribosomal RNA (288 nucleotides) under Triticum aestivum (bread wheat). Its description in RNAcentral is "partial small subunit ribosomal RNA". The record is from RNAcentral. Lineage: Eukaryota; Viridiplantae; Streptophyta; Magnoliopsida; Poales; Poaceae.
GGUUGCAACCGCCUCGUUAUUAACUCAAAUAACUUGGAGGUCAUUGAAACCAUGAACAACAGAGGAUGGACGGCGAGUACAGCGGUGGCAGUGUCUGACGAUUGUUAUUUUUUGGCUUGUGAUUUUCCCAUUACUAGAUUCGAGCACUGUAAUAGGGAAGCCAAUAAAGUUUCCCAUGAACUUGCUAAGUCAGCUAGAUUUUCUCCAACCUUUGACUGGUUUGAGAAGCCUUUGAGUGAAAUUGUAUUCCUCCUCAUAAACGAUGUAGUUGUUAUUGCAAAUGAAUAA